Molecule: non-coding RNA, 83 nt
Organism: Cadophora sp. MPI-SDFR-AT-0126
Lineage: Eukaryota; Fungi; Ascomycota; Leotiomycetes; Helotiales; Ploettnerulaceae
Source: the annotation of a GenBank genome assembly
GCGUUUGUGGUUUAGUGGUAAAAUCCAUCGUUGCCAUUUCAUACAGUUUCGAUGGGCCCCGGGUUCGAUUCCCGGCGAACGCA